CUCGGAUCAGGUGUUCAGGGUGGCCUCGUCCGACCUCGUCAACAUGGGGAUAUCCGUGGUCAGCUACACGCUCAAGGACGUGCACGACAAGCAAGUGAGGGCGGGGGGGCACCUGGGGACACACCUGGGACACACCUGGGGGGUGUGGGAUACACCUGGGACACACCUGGGGACACCUGGGGGGUGUGGGAUGCACCUGGGGGGCGUUGGAGACACCUGGGAUAUACCUGGGGUACACCUGGAGACACCUGGAUACACCUGGGAUACACCUGGGGGACGUGGGAUGCACAUGGGAUACAUCUGGGAUACACCUGGAGACACCUGGGGGACACCUGGAGACACCUGGGAUACACCUGGGGGACAUGGGAUACACCUGGAAUACAUCUGGGAUACACCUGGAUACACCUGGGGACACCUGGGGGACAUGGGAGACACCUGGGGGGCGUGGGAGACGCCCGGGAUACACCUGGGGUACACUUGGGGGACAGGGGAUACACCUGGAUACACCUGGGAUACAUGGGAUACACCUGGGAUACGCCUGGGAUACGCCUGGGAUACACCUGGGACACACCUGGGGACACCUGGGGGGUGUGGGAUGCACCUGGGGGGCGUUGGAGACACCUGGGAUAUACCUGGAUACACCUGGGAUACACCUGGGGGACAUGGGAUACACCUGGAGACACCUGGGAUGCACCUGGAUACACCUGGGGGACACCUGGGGGACAGGGGAUACACCUGGGGGGCACCUGGGGGGCGUGGGAUACACCUGGGAUACACCUGGGUACACCUGGAUACACCUGGGGGACAGGGGAUACACCUGGGAUACACCUGGGGGACACCUGGGGGACACCUGGGGGACAGGGGAUACACCUGGGAUACACCUGGGGUAUCCCUGGGGAUCUCCGUGGUCAGCUACACACUCAAGGACAUACACGACGAGCAGGUGAGGGCGGGGGGGCACCUGGGACACACCUGGGGACACCUGGGGGGCACCUGGGGACACCUGGGGGACGUGGGAUACACCUGGGAUACACCUGGGAUACACCUGGGGGACAGGGGAUGCACCUGGGAUACACCUGGGAUACACCUGGAGACACCUGGGGGACAGGGGGUACACCUGGGAUACACCUGGGGACACCUGGAGACACCUGGGAUACACCUGGGGGACACCUGGAGGACAUGGGAUACACCUGGACACACCUGGGAG
RNAcentral lists this long non-coding RNA (1207 nucleotides) under Manacus vitellinus (golden-collared manakin). RNAcentral describes it as "lncRNA (ENSMVIG00005006843.1)". The record is from RNAcentral. Lineage: Eukaryota; Metazoa; Chordata; Aves; Passeriformes; Pipridae.